AUGAAGAUUAUGCUCAGGUACCA
Molecule: non-coding RNA, 23 nt
Filed under: Arabidopsis thaliana (thale cress)
Lineage: Eukaryota; Viridiplantae; Streptophyta; Magnoliopsida; Brassicales; Brassicaceae
Source: RNAcentral